UUCCUUGUAGGAAAACACUUGGACACAGGGUCACCCCGACAGUCGGCAAAGGGAAAAGACAAACCCCCGCCUGCCCGCGUGGGAAGCAGCAACUCAGUGUGAGUUCAAACAGCUCCGUUUAUUAGGGCAACAGCCCUUCCUUAUAUAGCAUACUUGUGUACAAGAUAGGUGCCCCACAGAUCUCAAAAGUGUCUCAAAACAAUAUCAUUUCCCAGGCUAUUUUCGAGCACAGCACCUGCUGUUAAUUAAAGCACUACAAGCAGUAAAUUCCACACAUACACAGCUUACUUCUUAUCUAAGGUCAUACCGUAAAUCUUUGAGAAAAGUCAGCUACGCGCUACCAGGCAUGCAAUGUUUCCCAACAUUUCCUGACAUAUGAUGGUACAAGAAGUUCCUCCUAGGUGAAGGUAGGGUACAACUGUCAAGGCAUGUGAAAGGAGAUGUCUUCGAGAGCGAGGAUCAGACCACUAUACAGGUUUUGGAAAGGAGCAGAUUGGCGAGGAACAGCUGCAAAUGUCGCCACUGUCUCUUCAAAGAAGAAUCAAGAAAGAGAAAAUGGACAAAUUUAAAAUUUUCUGAACCGAUAAAAGGGAAGACUGCUUCCACCACCACCCUGCCCAUAUACAUUACUCAGUGAAAUUGCAGAACUUGAAGAAAAAUAAGAUCUAUCCGAUUCAAAGAUCCCCAUGAGGAGGCUCAUUAAGUAGAAAAUGUUGGAUCCACUCAUCUGUUGAAGAUAAGCAGGGAACAAAGAUCUUUAUGUAUUUAUUUUCUGCUUGAUAUACUUCACCAAGUGAAUCCUCUGCCCUCCUGGGCAGAGGAGUGCAGGAGCACAAUAAUAAAGUGUUGGAUCUGAU
This 857-nucleotide long non-coding RNA is filed under the name Numida meleagris (helmeted guineafowl). Its description in RNAcentral is "lncRNA (ENSNMEG00000021572.1)". The record is from RNAcentral. Lineage: Eukaryota; Metazoa; Chordata; Aves; Galliformes; Numididae.